This is a long non-coding RNA of Notothenia coriiceps (black rockcod), 130 nucleotides long. RefSeq lists it as uncharacterized. The record is from RefSeq and is a predicted model, not a curated record. Lineage: Eukaryota; Metazoa; Chordata; Actinopteri; Perciformes; Nototheniidae. The transcript has 2 exons.
UAAUGAAAAUGUCUUCCUUCACACAGACCACAAUUAUUUGGGACGCACAUACGGGAGAGGCCAAACAACAAUUUCCUUUCCACUCAGCACCGGCUCUGGAUGUGGACUGGCAGAGCAACAACACGUUCGC